AAUCGACUCCUUUAGUGGAUCGCCAUGGAUUCAUUCCGUUUGAAAGAAUCGACUCCUUAAAUGAACCCGAGCUGAUUCAGUCCAGUCGUCUGUUUCAGUUUGUUUGUCGCCUGUUGAGAGUCGGAACGCGUACGAUCGCCUCAGCAAUGGCAGUUCGGGUGUGUCGCCGUGGUAACCGCUUGGCUCUGCACAUGCUCAGUAGGAGCGUGUCUCACACCAGCGUGUCCAUCGAGACUCUCGGCGAGCUGGACUCACACACACGUGCGCCGUUCUCCCGCUCCGCCAUCGGGACGUUCUUCCAGGAGCGACCCCUGCUCACCAACCCAUUUACCCAGGAUGCACUGCUCCGAGCCUACCUGCAGCGCCACCUGCCUGUGCGGGAGGUGCACGGAGACCUGCAGCGCUUCGGCGAGCGUCUGGUGUCCGAGAUCGAGGCGCUGGGCCGCCAGUGUGAGCUCAACCCGCCUGUCCUGCAGCGCUACGACGCGUGGGGGAGACGCGUGGACCGCAUCGUCACCUGUGACGCCUGGACGCGCCUGAGACACAUCUCUGCGCAGGAGGGGCUGGUGGCGGCGGGAUACGAGAGGACGUACGGAGAGUGGAGUCGUGUGUAUCAGAUGAGUAAGAUGUACCUGUUUGCUCCGUCGGCUGGACUCUACACCUGCCCGCUGGCCAUGACGGAUGGAGCUGCUAAAGUCAUCGAGUCUUUAGGUAUGCCGGCCAGAGAAGCGUUUGAGCGUCUGACUUCGCGUGAUGAGAAGAGAUUCUGGACGUCAGGACAGUGGAUGACCGAGAGGAGAGGAGGAUCUGAUGUCUCGAGUGGUACGGAGACGGUUGCCAGGCGACAGCAGGGCGACUGGUUCAAGCUGUAUGGCUUUAAAUGGUUCACGUCGGCCACAGAUGCUGAUAUGACGCUCACGCUGGCCCGCGUCACAGAUGAACACGGACACACCACACCGGGCAGCAGGGGUCUGUCUCUGUUCCUGGCGGACGUCUGGGACUCUGACGGCUCGUCUAACGGGAUUGAGGUUCAGAGGCUGAAGGAUAAGCUGGGUACGCGGCAGAUGCCGACGGCGGAGCUGCUGCUGGACGGCAUGAACGCGCGUCUGCUGUCAGAGGAGGGGCGCGGCGUGGCCUCCAUCGCCAACAUGCUGACCAUCACUCGCAUUUACAAUACCGUGUGUGCGGUGGCCGCCAUGAGGAGGAUCGUUCAUCUGUGCAGGGAAUAUGCAUGUAAGCGCUCUGCGUUUGGGAAGCUGCUGAAAGAUCAUGCGCUGCACGUGCAAACACUCAGCAGGAUGGAGGUGGAGACUCGCGCUGCGUUUCUGCUGGUGAUGGAAGUGUGUCGUCUGUUGGGCCGCGAGGAGAACCGGAGCGCCAGUGAGAGAGAAACACUCCUGCUGAGACUGCUGACGCCCGUCGCCAAACUCUACACCGCUAAACAGGCGGUGUCUGUGGUGUCCGAGGGUCUGGAGUCUUUCGGCGGUCAGGGUUACAUCGAGGACACUGGGCUUCCCUCCAUGCUGCGCGACGCUCAGGUGUUGAGUAUUUGGGAGGGAACCACGAAUGUUUUGUCUCUGGAUGUUCUGCGCUCUAUUUCGAAGUCCUCUGGGUCGGUUCUCCAGGCGUUCUUCAGUGACACUGAAGAGCGUCUGCUGGCAGCUGAAGCGUCUCCCGCUCUGCGUCCGGCGCUAACAUCUCUCCGUACGUCUCUCUCGGCUUUGAUGCAUUUCUGUCAGACAGCGGCAGCGUCUCGACCCGCGGGAUAUCUGGAGCUGUCAGCGAGAGACCUGGCCUACAGCCUCGCACGUGUCUACAUGGGAGCGCUGCUGGUGGAUCACGCCGCAUGGGAGCACGCCACACACACCGACGUCUACGCGGCUCUGAGGUGGUGUGAUCAGGAUUUGUGUCCAGUGGUCAGUCGAGACGCUGCAGGUUGUUUUGACCCACAGACGACAGCAAUGGAUUCAGCGCUGGUGUACGACGGCCUGAAGCCUUAAACACACACACACACACACACACACUCUCACACACACACAUUAUAUUGAUUGUGACGCUCCGCUGAGGCUCGAGUUCAUCAAGCAUUUGAUCGCAAAGAGAUCGUGCAGUGGUCGAGGUAAUUGUUUGUGCGACUACAGCGAUUGAUUAUGAUUAGUGCCACAUCACGACAGGGACGAGCGCGAGUCGUUCAGACGCUCGUGACGGACAGUACCGCUGCUCAUGUUCUGUUAUAUGAGCCUCAAGAUCAAUAAACACCCUCAUCAGCCUCCUCUUCCUCCGGUAAAGUUCAUGUGUGUGCGCGACCUUCUGCAGCUCUUUCAGAUGAUCUGACCUUUCAGAGCGCCUGCCUCUGACCUUUGACCUGCCGUUAGCGUACAGACGCUUCAUCAUACUGCUGGUGUUCUGAGCGUCUCUCUCUUCAGGACCCAACGUGACAUGAAUCGCUUAAAACAGGAGCUUUCAAAGAGAACUAGAGCGAGCUUUACAAGAAAACACUACUUCAGUUUCCCACCUGAUCUCACAGGAGAAUUAAACUAUGUUACAAGAGGAGAUUUCGCAUGGAUUUGUACGAAUUAUCCACCAGUUCGCCAAAACAAAAAGUAGUUACGAACUGCUGCAAGACUGUUAAAAUUUCACAUUUAAUUCAGUGUUACUUGCCGAGUGAAAAUAGUCUCUACACCAAAUCUAUUUGUUUUAUGUUUUUGACACAUUUUUCCUCUGCGAAUCUCAUAUUAAUGAAUCUCCUGAACUGCGUAAGACGACAUACUAAGCUACUCAACUAUCAGGCUGAAUUAAGAGAAAGUGUUGUGGAGUUUGGAUGAUGUUCCUCAGAGAAAUUACGCGCACAAUAAAGGCACUGAAUCAUU
Molecule: RNA transcript, 2867 nt
Organism: Ctenopharyngodon idella (grass carp)
Lineage: Eukaryota; Metazoa; Chordata; Actinopteri; Cypriniformes; Xenocyprididae
Gene name: acyl-CoA dehydrogenase family member 11-like
Exons: 15
Source: RefSeq, a predicted model, not a curated record